Long non-coding RNA from Eucalyptus grandis, 1756 nucleotides. RefSeq lists it as uncharacterized. NCBI's taxonomy places the organism in Eukaryota, Viridiplantae, Streptophyta, Magnoliopsida, Myrtales, Myrtaceae. The record is from RefSeq and is a predicted model, not a curated record. The transcript is spliced from 6 exons.
CCAAUUUUAUGAUCAAAAGACCUUUUUCCGAGGUAGUUGCUGGAUCUACAGCUGCUGAUUCGGCUUUUCCUCCUCUCCGGCAGAGGAAACAGCCUCCAUUAGUUACAGAAAAGGUGAUUAAGCAAACCAAUACAGCAGGCAGUGCUCCAGAACAGAUACACACAUAUGUUGAUAAGAAAGCAUCAAACAGGUUUCAGGGUAUUUCUGAUCAACUUGAUUCAAAUAGGAUUGGUUCUGAUAAUUUUCACAUGGGUAACCCUUUUGUACGGAUAGGUAGUAAUGUUAUAUCCGUAAACACGAGUGCUGGUGAAAUGAUCUCAUCAAAAGCAUCCUUGAAGAAUGUCCCAGCUUAUUUUGGGUUUGAGUAUGAGUGUCCACAUGGACAUCGUUUUCUGCUGAAUCGAAAGUAUCUUGAUGAACUUGGGUCAUUGUAUUCACCACAAAACGAUUCUGACUUUUCUCCAUCGGAUGUGACUUCUGAGUCUAGUCAAUUGGAUGAGAAUGGUGGUCAUAAUAAAGUUCAAUUGGGCUCAGAUGGGAUAGCAUCCACCAGAAAGAAGGUAAAAAUAUGAACAAAUCAAAAGACCCCCUGGCCAAUGGUAAUCUAGUGCAUAAUCAGUCAACAAACUUACCUGGUAAAAGAAAAGAACAUUAUCAGACAACAAGCAGGUUGUCAAGAGCUCCUGAGUUUGUGGAAGACUUGGAAAAACGUCUUCAAUCCGUCAGCCUUGAUGAUGGUGGCUGCACAUCCUCUCUCUUGAACAGGAAAUUACCUAUAUAUAUGAACUGUCCACACUGCAAGUUCUUGAAGAAGAAGGAUACAUCAAAUGUUCAAUUUGCUAGCACUGUAUCACAGCUCCAAAGGAUUUUUCUGGUUACUCCUCCUUUUCCAGUCGUAUUAGCCAUUGAUCCAGUUGUACAAUUUGAGGCAUCUUGUCUACCUCUAUCCAUUCCUGAUUGUGGACAGAAAUUGCAAUUCAACCUUGGAUGUCAAGUGAUUUUACCAAUGGAGAGCUUUCUUGUGCUUAGGCUUCCUUUUAUCUAUGGCAUACAACUUGAGGACCAGUCGUUGCAUCCUCUUAAGCCCUUCGAACAUCAGCCUGAGAAAACUGCCUGGAUAAAAGAAUGCACGACUUUGAUGAUUGUGUCCAAGGAAGGUGGCCCUACUGAAGGGGAUUCUGCACUAGAUUGAAUUAACCGAUACUCUAUAAUGGCUGCUAAAGUGGUUCUCUUCUUGAAAUCGACAGAGGCAACUUGUGCUAAGAGCUGCACCUAGGCGUGAUUCAAUUGUACCUGGUAAAGACUGCCUAAUUGAUUUUUGCAAUGUCUGAUGAGAUGGUAACAUUUGAGUAUGCACACAGAGUUGCCAGGCUAUACAAGUCCCUGGACCUCUCUGUGGUGUGUGCAUCGGAGGGGUGAAUCAGAAGGAAGCUAAGCUGCAUCAAGAUGUUAUCUCCAUAACUUAAGCUUCCCAAGAAAUCGGCACCAGCACAGAUACUCCGAUCCCACUAAGUGGAAGACCGAGUAAAGCCACCACAGAGCUGUACAGGAGUUGUAUCAAGCUAGAAGAGUACAUUUUGGAAUCGCUACUCCUUUUCUUUCGUCCCUUUACAAGAUGUAAUGUUGCAUACUAAGUGCUAUAAAUGUUUAGCUGCUGUGACACUUAACUAAAACUUGAAUGCGGAAUCACGGGAACACUCGUUACUUUCGUCUGCAGAUUUUAGAUGAUGAAUUCAUUCCUUCCUUGAUCAAUCAA